Molecule: unclassified non-coding RNA, 341 nt
Filed under: soil metagenome
Description: partial contains 5.8S ribosomal RNA, internal transcribed spacer 2, and large subunit ribosomal RNA
Rfam family: 5.8S ribosomal RNA (bases 1-120)
Source: RNAcentral
GAUGAAGAACGUAGCGAAAUGCGAUAAGUAGUGUGAAUUGCAGAAUUCAGUGAAUCAUCGAAUCUUUGAACGCACAUUGCGCCCUUUGGUAUUCCAAAGGGCAUGCCUGUUCGAGCGUCAUUUGUACCCUCAAGCUUUGCUUGGUGUUGGGCGUCUUGUCUCUAGCUUUGCUGGAGACUCGCCUUAAAGUAAUUGGCAGCCGGCCUACUGGUUUCGGAGCGCAGCACAAGUCGCACUCUCUAUCAGCAAAGGUCUAGCAUCCACUAAGCCUUUUUUUCAACUUUUGACCUCGGAUCAGGUAGGGAUACCCGCUGAACUUAAGCGUAUCAAUAAGCGGAGGA